This is a small nucleolar RNA of Pseudogymnoascus pannorum, 84 nucleotides long. The record is from Rfam. NCBI's taxonomy places the organism in Eukaryota, Fungi, Ascomycota, Leotiomycetes, Thelebolales, Thelebolaceae.
GUUUCCUGAUGAAAAAACAUUUCAAACAGUUCUGCUUCUGAACACCUUGAUGAUAUCCCAUUACCAAAAAUAUUUUUCUGAAAA